UGUUCGGUUCUCCGUCCUCUCCUUCGUGACUUCUCCAUGGCCGCCAAGAGGAAGCCCAGCAGGUCGCCGGCGGCGGCGAAUGCGAAGGAAGAUGAUGCCGAGGGUCUCUUCUCCUCCCGCUCCUUCGUGCACACCACACUCUGCGCCCGCCUCCAACCAAGGAAGCUCCUCAUCUGACCUGAGCAAAGAGCAAAAGUAGGGAAGCACACACCUUGGUUAUUAAGCAGCAGCAGCAGCAGAUCCAAUGCUUUGAGAGAAGAGUAGCGAGGAUGUGGACUAUGAAAGAUGAGCAGUGAGGUUGUGGUGUUGAUGUGAAGUUAAUUUGUCGUUCCUCUACCUUAUAGCUUUGUUCCCAACGUCAUAAGAUUGUGACAGAGAAGCGUCCAGAUUACAAGCAAUUAUCCUGUCGAUUAGUUCUAGGCCCGGCCGCGCAUCAGACAUAUGAAAAAUGGUUUAUUAGGAGCGCUGGCCUGGGUUUCAAUCAUUAUUAAGGUUCCUAAUUAAACUGUUAAAAGUUCUGAGGUAAUCAAAAAAGGGGAUGCACUA
Molecule: long non-coding RNA, 546 nt
Organism: Triticum aestivum (bread wheat)
Lineage: Eukaryota; Viridiplantae; Streptophyta; Magnoliopsida; Poales; Poaceae
Exons: 2
Source: RefSeq, a predicted model, not a curated record